GUUUCCUAUGAUGAUACACCAUACUUUUAUUUUAUUCUGGUACCUCUUAUAUCAUCGGGCCUUUUGGCCUGAAAUGUAUUAAACGGACUUCUGAUU
RNAcentral lists this small nucleolar RNA (96 nucleotides) under Xylariales sp. No.14919. RNAcentral describes it as "fungal sp. No.14919 A. fumigatus snoRNA Afu_264". It matches the Rfam family "A. fumigatus snoRNA Afu_264". The record is from Rfam by way of RNAcentral. Lineage: Eukaryota; Fungi; Ascomycota; Sordariomycetes; Xylariales.